GCUUUGAUAGCACAGUUGGGAGAGCGUUAGACUACAGAUCUAAAGGUCACUAGUUCAAUCCCGGUUCAGGGCA
This 73-nucleotide transfer RNA is filed under the name Caenorhabditis brenneri. RNAcentral's name for it is "tRNA CBN26941". It matches the Rfam family "tRNA". From Rfam's summary of the family: Transfer RNA (tRNA) molecules are approximately 80 nucleotides in length. Their secondary structure includes four short double-helical elements and three loops (D, anti-codon, and T loops). Lineage: Eukaryota; Metazoa; Nematoda; Chromadorea; Rhabditida; Rhabditidae. The record is from Rfam by way of RNAcentral.